RNAcentral lists this ribosomal RNA (386 nucleotides) under uncultured bacterium. Its description in RNAcentral is "bacterial SSU rRNA". It matches the Rfam family "Bacterial small subunit ribosomal RNA", at positions 28 to 417 of the family's 1533-position model. The record is from RNAcentral.
GACGAACGCUGGCGGCGUGCUUAACACAUGCAAGUCGAACGCUGAAGCCCGCUUGCGGGUGGAUGAGUGGCGAACGGGUGAGUAACACGUGAGUAACCUGCCCUUCACUUUGGGAUAACCUUCGGAAACGGGGGCUAAUACUGGAUAUGACUCAUGGCCGCAUGGUUGUGGGUGGAAAGAUUCUUUGGUGGGGGAUGGGCUCGCGGCCUAUCAGCUUGUUGGUGGGGUGAUGGCCUACCAAGGCGACGACGGGUAGCCGGCCUGAGAGGGCGACCGGCCACACUGGGACUGAGACACGGCCCAGACUCCUACGGAGGCAGCAGUGGGGAAUAUUGCACAAUGGGCGCAAGCCUGAUGCAGCGACGCCGCGUGGGGGAUGACGGCCU